GAAUUGACGGGGCCCGCACAAGCGGUGGAGCAUGUGGUUUAAUUCGACGCAACGCGAAGAACCUUACCAGGUCUUGACAUCCCGAUGCUAUUUCUAGAGAUAGAAAGUUACUUCGGUACAUCGGUGACAGGUGGUGCAUGGUUGUCGUCAGCUCGUGUCGUGAGAUGUUGGGUUAAGUCCCGCAACGAGCGCAACCCCUAUCUUUAGUUGCCAUCAUUGAGUUGGGCACUCUAAAGAGACUGCCGGUGUCAAACCGGAGGAAGGUGGGGAUGACGUCAAGUCCUCAUGGCCUUUAUGACCAGGGCUACACACGUACUACAAUGGCCGGUACAAAGGGCAGCGACACAGCGAUGUGAAGCCAAUCCCGAAAAGCCGGUCUCAGUCCGGAUUGGAGUCUGCAACUCGACUCCAUGAAGUUGGAAUCGCUAGUAAUCGCGGAUCAGCACGCCGCGGUGAAUACGUUCCCGGGCCUU
This 473-nucleotide ribosomal RNA is filed under the name uncultured Desulfocapsa sp. RNAcentral's name for it is "bacterial SSU rRNA". It matches the Rfam family "Bacterial small subunit ribosomal RNA", at positions 907 to 1382 of the family's 1533-position model. The record is from RNAcentral. Lineage: Bacteria; Pseudomonadati; Thermodesulfobacteriota; Desulfobulbia; Desulfobulbales; Desulfocapsaceae.